GAUCCUGGCUCAGGAUGAACGCUGGCGGCGUGCCUAACACAUGCAAGUCGAGCGAUUCUCUUCGGAGAAGAGCGGCGGACGGGUGAGUAACGCGUGGGUAACCUGCCCUGUACACACGGAUAACAUACCGAAAGGUAUGCUAAUACGGGAUAAUAUGUUUUGAUCGCAUGGUCGAAAUAUCAAAGCUCCGGCGGUACAGGAUGGACCCGCGUCUGAUUAGCUAGUUGGUGAGGUAGUGGCUCACCAAGGCGACGAUCAGUAGCCGACCUGAGAGGGUGAUCGGCCACAUUGGAACUGAGACACGGUCCAAACUCCUACGGGAGGCAGCAGUGGGGAAUAUUGCACAAUGGGCGAAAGCCUGAUGCAAGCAACGCCGCGUGAGCGAUGAAGGCCUUCGGGUCGUAAAGCUCUGUCCUCAAGGAAGAUAAUGACGGUACUUGAGGAGGAAGCCCCGGCUAACUACGUGCCAGCCGCAGC
This 477-nucleotide ribosomal RNA is filed under the name uncultured bacterium. Its description in RNAcentral is "bacterial SSU rRNA". It matches the Rfam family "Bacterial small subunit ribosomal RNA", at positions 15 to 518 of the family's 1533-position model. The record is from RNAcentral.